CGCGUAGGCGGCCUUCUAAGUCGAACGUGAAAUCCCCGGGCUCAACCCGGGAACUGCGUCCGAGACUGGAAGGCUUGAAUCCGGGAGAGGGAUGUGGAAUUCCAGGUGUAGCGGUGAAAUGCGUAGAUAUCUGGAGGAACAUCGGUGGCGAAGGCGGCAUCCUGGACCGGUAUUGACGCUGAGGCGCGAAAGCCAGGGGGAGAAACG
RNAcentral lists this ribosomal RNA (207 nucleotides) under uncultured bacterium. RNAcentral describes it as "partial 16S ribosomal RNA". It matches the Rfam family "Bacterial small subunit ribosomal RNA", at positions 568 to 774 of the family's 1533-position model. The record is from RNAcentral.